Molecule: ribosomal RNA, 253 nt
Filed under: uncultured bacterium
Lineage: Bacteria
Description: partial 16S ribosomal RNA
Rfam family: Bacterial small subunit ribosomal RNA
Source: RNAcentral
GACAGAGGGUGCAAACGUUGUUCGGAAUUACUGGGCGUAAAGCGAGUGUAGGCGGUUUGAUAAGUCGGAUGUGAAAGCCCCGGGCUCAACUCGGGAAGUGCACUCGAUACUGUCAAGCUAGAGUAUCGGAGAGGUUGGUGGAAUUCUCGGUGUAGAGGUGAAAUUCGUAGAUAUCGAGAGGAACACCGGUGGCGAAGGCGGCCAACUGGACGAAUACUGACGCUGAGACUCGAAAGCGUGGGGAGCAAACAGG